GAUAAACGCUGGCGGCGUGCCUAAAACAUGCAAGUCGAACGGGUGACUUCGGUCACCAGUGGCGAACGGCUGAGUAACGCGUGGGUGACCUCGCUCCGAGUGGGGGAUAACUGCCCGAAACGGGUGGCUAAUACCGCAUGUGCUCGUGGGAUCGUUCCUACGCGCAAAGUCGCAAGACGCUUGGAGAUGGGCCCGCGUCCGAUUAGCUUGUUGGUGGGGUGACGGCCUACCAAGGCGACGAUCGGUAGCUGGUCUCAGAGGAUGAUCAGCCAGACUGGGACUGCGACACGGCCCAGACUCCUACGGGAGGCAGCAGUUAGGAAUUUUGGGCAAUGGGCGAAAGACCUCG
RNAcentral lists this ribosomal RNA (349 nucleotides) under uncultured bacterium. RNAcentral's name for it is "bacterial SSU rRNA". It matches the Rfam family "Bacterial small subunit ribosomal RNA", at positions 28 to 385 of the family's 1533-position model. The record is from RNAcentral.